Molecule: ribosomal RNA, 284 nt
Filed under: [Eubacterium] siraeum
Lineage: Bacteria; Bacillati; Bacillota; Clostridia; Eubacteriales; Oscillospiraceae
Description: partial 16S ribosomal RNA
Rfam family: Bacterial small subunit ribosomal RNA
Source: RNAcentral
UAUUUUAAUUGUGGGAAAGCCGCCGCGGUAAUACGUAGGUGGCGAGCGUUGUCCGGAAUUACUGGGUGUAAAGGGAGUGUAGGCGGGAAGGCAAGUCAGAAGUGAAAAUUAUGGGCUUAACCCAUAACCUGCUUUUGAAACUGUUUUUCUUGAGUGAGGCAGAGGCAAGCGGAAUUCCUAGUGUAGCGGUGAAAUGCGUAGAUAUUAGGAGGAACACCAGUGGCGAAGGCGGCUUGCUGGGCCUUUACUGACGCUGAGGCUCGAAAGCGUGGGGAGCAAACAGG